CCUACGGGAGGCAGCAGUGGGGAAUAUUGGGCAAUGGGCGCAAGCCUGACCCAGCAACGCCGCGUGAAGGAAGAAGGCGUUAGGGUUGUAAACUUCUUUUGUUAGGGAAGAGUAGAAGACGGUACCUGACGAAUAAGCCACGGCUAACUACGUGCCAGCAGCCGCGGUAAUACGUAGGUGGCAAGCGUUGUCCGGAGUUACUGGGUUUAAAGGGCGUGUAGCCGGGUUGACAAGUCAGAUGUGAAAUCCUGCGGCUUAACCGCAGAAAUGCAUUUGAAACUGUUGAUCUUGAGUACUGGAGAGGCAGAUGGAAUUCCUGGUGUAGCGGUGAAAUGCUUAGAUAUUAGGAGGAACGCCAGUGGCGAAGGCGGUCUGCUGGACAGCAACUGACGGUGAGGCGCGAAAGCGUGGGGAGCAAACAGGAUUAGAUACCCCAGUAGUC
Molecule: ribosomal RNA, 442 nt
Filed under: uncultured bacterium
Lineage: Bacteria
Description: partial 16S ribosomal RNA
Rfam family: Bacterial small subunit ribosomal RNA
Source: RNAcentral